RNAcentral lists this ribosomal RNA (1686 nucleotides) under Escherichia coli. Its description in RNAcentral is "partial 23S ribosomal RNA". It matches the Rfam family "Bacterial large subunit ribosomal RNA", at positions 546 to 2215 of the family's 2925-position model. The record is from RNAcentral. Lineage: Bacteria; Pseudomonadati; Pseudomonadota; Gammaproteobacteria; Enterobacterales; Enterobacteriaceae.
GAACCUGAAACCGUGUACGUACAAGCAGUGGGAGCACGCUUAGGCGUGUGACUGCGUACCUUUUGUAUAAUGGGUCAGCGACUUAUAUUCUGUAGCAAGGUUAACCGAAUAGGGGAGCCGAAGGGAAACCGAGUCUUAACUGGGCGUUAAGUUGCAGGGUAUAGACCCGAAACCCGGUGAUCUAGCCAUGGGCAGGUUGAAGGUUGGGUAACACUAACUGGAGGACCGAACCGACUAAUGUUGAAAAAUUAGCGGAUGACUUGUGGCUGGGGGUGAAAGGCCAAUCAAACCGGGAGAUAGCUGGUUCUCCCCGAAAGCUAUUUAGGUAGCGCCUCGUGAAUUCAUCUCCGGGGGUAGAGCACUGUUUCGGCAAGGGGGUCAUCCCGACUUACCAACCCGAUGCAAACUGCGAAUACCGGAGAAUGUUAUCACGGGAGACACACGGCGGGUGCUAACGUCCGUCGUGAAGAGGGAAACAACCCAGACCGCCAGCUAAGGUCCCAAAGUCAUGGUUAAGUGGGAAACGAUGUGGGAAGGCCCAGACAGCCAGGAUGUUGGCUUAGAAGCAGCCAUCAUUUAAAGAAAGCGUAAUAGCUCACUGGUCGAGUCGGCCUGCGCGGAAGAUGUAACGGGGCUAAACCAUGCACCGAAGCUGCGGCAGCGACGCUUAUGCGUUGUUGGGUAGGGGAGCGUUCUGUAAGCCUGUGAAGGUGUGCUGUGAGGCAUGCUGGAGGUAUCAGAAGUGCGAAUGCUGACAUAAGUAACGAUAAAGCGGGUGAAAAGCCCGCUCGCCGGAAGACCAAGGGUUCCUGUCCAACGUUAAUCGGGGCAGGGUGAGUCGACCCCUAAGGCGAGGCCGAAAGGCGUAGUCGAUGGGAAACAGGUUAAUAUUCCUGUACUUGGUGUUACUGCGAAGGGGGGACGGAGAAGGCUAUGUUGGCCGGGCGACGGUUGUCCCGGUUUAAGCGUGUAGGCUGGUUUUCCAGGCAAAUCCGGAAAAUCAAGGCUGAGGCGUGAUGACGAGGCACUACGGUGCUGAAGCAACAAAUGCCCUGCUUCCAGGAAAAGCCUCUAAGCAUCAGGUAACAUCAAAUCGUACCCCAAACCGACACAGGUGGUCAGGUAGAGAAUACCAAGGCGCUUGAGAGAACUCGGGUGAAGGAACUAGGCAAAAUGGUGCCGUAACUUCGGGAGAAGGCACGCUGAUAUGUAGGUGAAGUCCCUUGCGGAUGGAGCUGAAAUCAGUCGAAGAUACCAGCUGGCUGCAACUGUUUAUUAAAAACACAGCACUGUGCAAACACGAAAGUGGACGUAUACGGUGUGACGCCUGCCCGGUGCCGGAAGGUUAAUUGAUGGGGUUAGCGGUAACGCGAAGCUCUUGAUCGAAGCCCCGGUAAACGGCGGCCGUAACUAUAACGGUCCUAAGGUAGCGAAAUUCCUUGUCGGGUAAGUUCCGACCUGCACGAAUGGCGUAAUGAUGGCCAGGCUGUCUCCACCCGAGACUCAGUGAAAUUGAACUCGCUGUGAAGAUGCAGUGUACCCGCGGCAAGACGGAAAGACCCCGUGAACCUUUACUAUAGCUUGACACUGAACAUUGAGCCUUGAUGUGUAGGAUAGGUGGGAGGCUUUGAAGUGUGGACGCCAGUCUGCAUGGAGCCGACCUUGAAAUACCACCCUUUAAUGUUU